CUUGGAAAGAGAGAUCAACACAGAUUAGUUAUACUCACUACUCUCAGUCUCUUCCAAAAUAAAAAGGUAGAAAAUCACCAGUGGUGUUACAGCACUGUUGUUGAUAAACUGAGGCUGAGACACAGAGCAGUUGGGCAGGCCUUAAGAGCUAAUGGUAGAGCAAUGAAUCACUGGACAGCCAAAGUCCACGGAGGAGGGUGUCCACAGGGCUCCCAAAUAGUACAGCAGCUGACUGUGAGCCAAGAGACAGACUCGGCCAUGGGCUCUGCACCACUGCCGAGGCGGGUCCAUUUCUUCAUCUAUCAGAUGAUGCCAGAGGAGGAGAUAACCUUUGAGGUCCUUUUCAGCUUUGACAUUCUCCAUGAGAGACCAUGUUCCAUAAGGACUCAGCAACUGUUUGAUUCCCAGGCUUUUUUUUUUUUUUUUCCAGUUCUUCAUUUCUAUUUUAAAAAAUUGCAUGUUCCCGUGGCCCUGGAAUGCCUGCCUCCGGCCCCUCUGGAGCCCUGGGUUAUGUGAAAGCAGCCGUGCCAAGCUGGCCCAUGGGCGGGGCUGAGCCUUCCUGGCCGGCCUGUGACAUGUUCCUGACGUACUGUGUGGUCAAGGAGCUGGAA
Long non-coding RNA from Canis lupus familiaris (dog), 611 nucleotides. RefSeq lists it as uncharacterized. The record is from RefSeq and is a predicted model, not a curated record. NCBI's taxonomy places the organism in Eukaryota, Metazoa, Chordata, Mammalia, Carnivora, Canidae. The transcript has 3 exons.